This 467-nucleotide ribosomal RNA is filed under the name uncultured bacterium. Its description in RNAcentral is "partial 16S ribosomal RNA". It matches the Rfam family "Bacterial small subunit ribosomal RNA", at positions 28 to 507 of the family's 1533-position model. The record is from RNAcentral.
GAUGAACGCUGGCGGCGUGCUUAACACAUGCAAGUCGAACGGAAAGGCUCCUGCUUGCAGGGGUACUCGAGUGGCGAACGGGUGAGUAACACGUGGGUGAUCUGCCCUGCACUUCGGGAUAAGCCUGGGAAACUGGGUCUAAUACCGGAUAGGACCACAUUUUGGAUGGUGUGGUGGAAAGUUUUUCGGUGUGGGAUGAGCUCGCGGCCUAUCAGCUUGUUGGUGGGGUAAUGGCCUACCAAGGCGUCGACGGGUAGCCGGCCUGAGAGGGUGUACGGCCACAUUGGGACUGAGAUACGGCCCAGACUCCUACGGGGGGCAGCAGUGGGGAAUAUUGCACAAUGGGCGCAAGCCUGAUGCAGCGACGCCGCGUGGGGGAUGACGGCCUUCGGGUUGUAAACUCCUUUCGCUAGGGACGAAGCGUUUUUGUGACGGUACCUGGAGAAGAAGCACCGGCUAACUACGUG